CUUUCUAAGUUUAAAAAAAAUAAUAAAAUUUGAGCUAAUUCCAGUUAAGAAAGUUUCAGUUACUUGCUGGGUUGUAUUGUCCUUUUAAUAUUCAAAGCUUCAGCGAAAGCAUGGGGAUUGUUGCUUUUAGAAACACCUCAGGUCUCAUCUGCACUCUGCUUUCUGUUGAGCUAAAGCAGAUCCCCCCCAAAAAAACAAACAGGUAAACAAAAAAAAAAAACAAACACACACACACACAAAUGAAGAACAAAAUAAAACACCAUUGGUAGACUUGUUGUGAAUGCAACGAACAUUUAAUCCCUUUGUUUUCCCAGGUGGUGUGGAUGAUACUGGCUGCACUGUUGGAGCUUGGAUUCGGAGAGGAAGAGUGAAUGCUGGUACUCUGUUUUUGCAGCUGAUGAUGAGCCUUCAGUUGACUAAGAUGACAAUCGGUGCCUGUGUAUUUCUUGAGGCAGAGGGACUUUACCAUGCAGCAACCUGAGAGCUAAGUUGGGGGGCACCUGGUAUUUGCAUAUCUGGGGUGGCUAAUGGGAGCUG
Molecule: non-coding RNA, 537 nt
Organism: Anas platyrhynchos (mallard)
Lineage: Eukaryota; Metazoa; Chordata; Aves; Anseriformes; Anatidae
Source: RefSeq, a predicted model, not a curated record